CCUACGGGGGGCUGCAGUGGGGAAUAUUGGACAAUGGGGGCAACCCUGAUCCAGCCAUGCCGCGUGUGUGAAGAAGGCCCUCGGGUUGUAAAGCACUUUCAGUGAGGAAGAACGCCUGGUGGUUAAUACCCAUCAGGAAAGACAUCACUCACAGAAGAAGCACCGGCUAACUCCGUGCCAGUAGCCGCGGUAAUACGGAGGGUGCGAGCGUUAAUCGGAAUUACUGGGCGUAAAGCGCGCGUAGGUGGCUUGAUAAGCCGGUUGUGAAAGCCCCGGGCUCAACCUGGGAACGGCAUCCGGAACUGUCAAGCUAGAGUGCAGGAGAGGAAGGUAGAAUUCCCGGUGUAGCGGUGAAAUGCGUAGAGAUCGGGAGGAAUACCAGUGGCGAAGGCGGCCUUCUGGACUGACACUGACACUGAGGUGCGAAAGCGUGGGUAGCAAACAGGAUUAGAUACCCCUGUAGUC
This 465-nucleotide ribosomal RNA is filed under the name Vreelandella stevensii. Its description in RNAcentral is "partial 16S ribosomal RNA". It matches the Rfam family "Bacterial small subunit ribosomal RNA", at positions 338 to 795 of the family's 1533-position model. The record is from RNAcentral. Lineage: Bacteria; Pseudomonadati; Pseudomonadota; Gammaproteobacteria; Oceanospirillales; Halomonadaceae.